AGGUCGUUAGUCUAAGCAGAACAUUUGAUUUCGGCUCAAAAAUUUGUGGUUAAAGUCCACAACCACCUA
This 69-nucleotide transfer RNA is filed under the name Sillago parvisquamis (small-scale sillago). Its description in RNAcentral is "tRNA-Arg". It matches the Rfam family "tRNA". Rfam says of the family: Transfer RNA (tRNA) molecules are approximately 80 nucleotides in length. Their secondary structure includes four short double-helical elements and three loops (D, anti-codon, and T loops). The record is from RNAcentral. Lineage: Eukaryota; Metazoa; Chordata; Actinopteri; Sillaginidae. RNAcentral also lists the same sequence under 1 other name.